AGCUACUGCCCUAAUACAGCAGCUAACAGAUUGGUUCAUUUCUGUUUUGUUGCCAAGAAAAUUGAAUAAACGUGUCUGUAUAAUCCGGAGUUGCUUGAAUCUCAAUUACAAGCAAAUUUGCCUUUUUAUACUAUCACCCAGCGAUCACAAUGGUGAUAUCAGGCCUGCCUUCAUCACAGAGAUCAUCACUAUCAUGGGUGGAGUCAAUUCAUUGAAAUUAAUACAUCUCAAAGCAGCUGUACUUUUUUUCAGGCUUAGUUCAGAAGCCUGUGGAGAAAAAAGGGGUUGCUUUAAUGAACAGCAGAGAGGUGCUGUGCUCCUAUGAGGAAUGAAGCCUCAUGUUUGAAGUGUGCAGUUCUAAUUUGCAGAAGGAUUCUAUGUGGCAGAAGGAAUUCACUGAAUUCUUUGUGUGGUGCCUAUUCCAGUCUUAACAGGAUCAACUGUGUUCAUCAAGACUGCAGUGUGAUAUUACCCAGCCACUUAUAUACACAAGAAGCCAGGAGUAAAACCAUAUUCUGGCCCUGAACAGUUGCUGUAGGAGAUUCUGAAGGAUGAGGAAAGUUUUGAAUACAACCUUUCUGGAUAUCUCAAAGACUGGCUAUUGUGACAAUCUGCCUUGCUAUUAUGAUUAACAAACAUGCAUUUAUUGUUUGAGUUAUAAAGCUAAAAGUCAAGAUUACCAGUUAUUAAUUUCAUUUAUUGUAGGUAAAUUCAAUAAUGUCCACAAGAUUAGAAGGCUUCACCAGAAUGAUGAACUGUGUGUCACAAUGUCAUGAUGCAAGCUCUGACUAUUUUGUAGUCACAACCACAAUCUACUUGAAAAAGGGGUGGAGCUUACAUCUCAACACAUAUUUCAUCAUUUGGGCCAACUCUUGAUAGCAAGGAAGGAUUACAUAGGACAAAAAUGCUUUCAGUAGUCAGGUCCUUCAUCUGCUUAUGAAGCAUUUGAAUCUGACAUGUGAUAGUGCUUACUUUUCCUGACCAUAGACCACACCUCCGAGUUUUCAGUUUCCUGCUUUUGUGGUUUCAGCCAAGAUUAAUAAAAAUAUUAAUCCUGAUCUAAA
Molecule: long non-coding RNA, 1064 nt
Organism: Candoia aspera
Lineage: Eukaryota; Metazoa; Chordata; Lepidosauria; Squamata; Candoiidae
Exons: 2
Source: RefSeq, a predicted model, not a curated record